Molecule: ribosomal RNA, 1214 nt
Filed under: Staphylococcus aureus
Lineage: Bacteria; Bacillati; Bacillota; Bacilli; Caryophanales; Staphylococcaceae
Description: partial 23S ribosomal RNA
Rfam family: Bacterial large subunit ribosomal RNA
Source: RNAcentral
GUAGCGGCGAGCGAAACGGGAAGAGCCCAAACCAACAAGCUUGCUUGUUGGGGUUGUAGGACACUCUAUACGGAGUUACAAAGGACGACAUUAGACGAAUCAUCUGGAAAGAUGAAUCAAAGAAGGUAAUAAUCCUGUAGUCGAAAAUGUUGUCUCUCUUGAGUGGAUCCUGAGUACGACGGAGCACGUGAAAUUCCGUCGGAAUCUGGGAGGACCAUCUCCUAAGGCUAAAUACUCUCUAGUGACCGAUAGUGAACCAGUACCGUGAGGGAAAGGUGAAAAGCACCCCGGAAGGGGAGUGAAAUAGAACCUGAAACCGUGUGCUUACAAGUAGUCAGAGCCCGUUAAUGGGUGAUGGCGUGCCUUUUGUAGAAUGAACCGGCGAGUUACGAUUUGAUGCAAGGUUAAGCAGUAAAUGUGGAGCCGUAGCGAAAGCGAGUCUGAAUAGGGCGUUUAGUAUUUGGUCGUAGACCCGAAACCAGGUGAUCUACCCUUGGUCAGGUUGAAGUUCAGGUAACACUGAAUGGAGGACCGAACCGACUUACGUUGAAAAGUGAGCGGAUGAACUGAGGGUAGCGGAGAAAUUCCAAUCGAACCUGGAGAUAGCUGGUUCUCUCCGAAAUAGCUUUAGGGCUAGCCUCAAGUGAUGAUUAUUGGAGGUAGAGCACUGUUUGGACGAGGGGCCCCUCUCGGGUUACCGAAUUCAGACAAACUCCGAAUGCCAAUUAAUUUAACUUGGGAGUCAGAACAUGGGUGAUAAGGUCCGUGUUCGAAAGGGAAACAGCCCAGACCACCAGCUAAGGUCCCAAAAUAUAUGUUAAGUGGAAAAGGAUGUGGCGUUGCCCAGACAACUAGGAUGUUGGCUUAGAAGCAGCCAUCAUUUAAAGAGUGCGUAAUAGCUCACUAGUCGAGUGACACUGCGCCGAAAAUGUACCGGGGCUAAACAUAUUACCGAAGCUGUGGAUUGUCCUUUGGACAAUGGUAGGAGAGCGUUCUAAGGGCGUUGAAGCAUGAUCGUAAGGACAUGUGGAGCGCUUAGAAGUGAGAAUGCCGGUGUGAGUAGCGAAAGACGGGUGAGAAUCCCGUCCACCGAUUGACUAAGGUUUCCAGAGGAAGGCUCGUCCGCUCUGGGUUAGUCGGGUCCUAAGCUGAGGCCGACAGGCGUAGGCGAUGGAUAACAGGUUGAUAUUCCUGUACCACCUAUAAUCGUUUUA